AGCAGCUUGGCGCAGUGGAAGCGCGGUAUGUUUAUCUCAAAGUUCGAGAUCUCAUCAGGCACUAACCCCUCUCAGCCGGGCUCAUAACCCGGAGGUCACUGGAUCGAAACCAGUAGCUGCUA
Molecule: non-coding RNA, 122 nt
Organism: Fusarium irregulare
Lineage: Eukaryota; Fungi; Ascomycota; Sordariomycetes; Hypocreales; Nectriaceae
Source: the annotation of a GenBank genome assembly